This 399-nucleotide ribosomal RNA is filed under the name uncultured bacterium. RNAcentral's name for it is "partial 16S ribosomal RNA". It matches the Rfam family "Bacterial small subunit ribosomal RNA", at positions 122 to 516 of the family's 1533-position model. The record is from RNAcentral.
GAACGUUCCCCGUUCUGGGGGAAAACGUAGCUAAAGCUAUGGUUAAAACUCAAACAAUUUUCGGAUGAAAAGGGGGGAGGGUUAGGCCUCGCGUGCUUGGAGCGGGCGAAUUUUGAUUAGGUAGUUGGGGGGGGUAAGGCUCAUCAAGCCUUAGAUCUAUAACUGGUUUGAGAGGAAUAUCACCCCCCCUGGGACUGAGGCCCGGCCCCGACUCCUUCCGGAGGCAGCAGUGGGGAAUUUUUGGCAAAUGGGGCAAACCUGAUCCACCCAUUCCGCGGGCAGGUCGAAGGCCUUUGGGUUGUAAACUGCUUUUGUACACAACGAAAAAGUUUGGGUUUAUUCCCUGGGGUCAAGACGGUUAAGUAAGAAAAAGCACCGGCUUACUAUGUGCCCCCAGCC